Molecule: long non-coding RNA, 509 nt
Organism: Homalodisca vitripennis (glassy-winged sharpshooter)
Lineage: Eukaryota; Metazoa; Arthropoda; Insecta; Hemiptera; Cicadellidae
Exons: 3
Source: RefSeq, a predicted model, not a curated record
GUUGAGCAGUCACCAGUCACAGUCAGUCAGUCCAGUCGGUACUCUGUAGGUCGUAGAGCCCGAGCGCGAUUGUGUUGUGAUAGUUGGGUUGCAGUUAUUAGCGCGGUUACAAACCACGGUUGGGUGAGGCUUGUUUUGGUUAAUCGCUGUUGACUUCAACCUGCCUGUGGUCUGGCGACCUUACCCGACGAGAUGGAAAACGUUCAACUAAAUUUCACAGUGGCGUCAUGAGAUUCAAGGAUUCUUUGUACUUACAGCGUCCGGUCAUCUCAAGGAUCUUGCCGGGAUGCUGCCUUCUAUUCCUUACUUACUUCCUGAAACUGCUCAUCUGUUGUCCCUCCAUGUGAAGGAGAUCUUCAGAGAUCUUCAAUCAGUGACCUGGAAGCAAGCAGCUAUUCUUCUUACUGUAUCAGCUAUUCUUCCUUCAUUAUUUCCUGAGUGAACUGGGUAUGGAGUGGAUGGGCCAGCAGGAACUCAUGCAGCAUAGAGCUCUGCACAAUUAACAUGGC